UGGGGAAUAUUGGACAAUGGGGGGAACCCUGAUCCAGCCAUGCCGCGUGUGUGAAGAAGGCCUUAUGGUUGUAAAGCACUUUAAGCGAGGAGGAGGGUACUGGUAUUAAUACUACCAGGUACUGGACGUUACUCGCAGAAUAAGCACCGGCUAACUCUGUGCCAGCAGCCGCGGUAAUACAGAGGGUGCGAGUGUUAAUCGGAUUUACUGGGCGUAAAGCGUGCGUAGGCGGCUAAUUGAGUCGGAUGUGAAAUCCCCGAGCUUAACUUGGGAAUUGCAUUCGAUACUGGUUAGCUAGAGUGUGGGAGAGGAUGGUAGAAUUCGAGGUGUAGCGGUGAAAUGCGUAGAGAUCUGGGGGAAUACCGAUGGCGAAGGCAGCCAUCUGGCCUAACACUGACGCUGAGGUACGAAAGCAUGGGGAGCAAACAGG
Molecule: ribosomal RNA, 430 nt
Filed under: Pseudomonadota bacterium
Lineage: Bacteria; Pseudomonadati; Pseudomonadota
Description: Proteobacteria bacterium partial 16S ribosomal RNA
Rfam family: Bacterial small subunit ribosomal RNA
Source: RNAcentral